AGCUUAUUUGUCUACAAGCCUAAUCACUCAACCAUCACCUUAAUCCUCUAGCACUACUGAGUAAUUCUAUAACACUAUAGAAAAUUUUAUGUUAAAACUAGUAACAUGAAGGAAGUUCUUCUCUUCAAUGCAAGUGUACAUCAGUAAGGAUAAACCACUGAUACCUAGCGCACAAUGAAAUCAAAGUAGGAACUAAUCAAGAAAAAUCUACUCUCACCAGCGUUAACCUAACACAAGAGCAUUACAAGAAAGAUUAAAAGAAAAAGAAGGAACUCGGCAAAUAUUAACCUCGCCUGUUUACCAAAAACAUCGCCUCUUGAAUAAUUAUAAGAGGUCCAGCCUGCCCAGUGACCAUGUUCAACGGCCGCGGUAUCCUAACCGUGCGAAGGUAGCGUAAUCACUUGUUCUUUAAAUGUGGACUAGUAUGAAUGGCACCACGAAGGUUAUACUGUCUCCUUUUUCUAAUCAGUGAAACUAAUCUCCCCGUGAAGAAGCGGGGAUAACUCUAUAAGACGAGAAGACCCUAUGGAGCUUAAAACAACAUAACAAUUGCUCCACAACACAUAAUUUCCCGAAUUCUCCACUUCUAUGAGCAAUAUGUUUACAAGUUUUUGGUUGGGGUGACCGCGGAGCAUAACACAACCUCCAUGUUGAAAGAAUUUUUCUAAGCUAAGACCAACUAGCCUAAGCAUCAGUACUCUGACAUUCAUUGACCCAAUAUAUUUGAACAACGAACCAAGUUACCCUAGGGAUAACAGCGCAAUCCACUUCAAGAGCUCCUAUCGACAAGUGGGUUUACGACCUCGAUGUUGGAUCAGGGUAUCCCAGUGGUGCAGCCGCUACUAAA
RNAcentral lists this ribosomal RNA (847 nucleotides) under Anaxyrus punctatus (red-spotted toad). RNAcentral's name for it is "partial 16S ribosomal RNA". It matches the Rfam family "Bacterial large subunit ribosomal RNA", at positions 1422 to 2569 of the family's 2925-position model. Lineage: Eukaryota; Metazoa; Chordata; Amphibia; Anura; Bufonidae. The record is from RNAcentral.